Molecule: ribosomal RNA, 261 nt
Filed under: uncultured bacterium
Lineage: Bacteria
Description: partial 16S ribosomal RNA
Rfam family: Bacterial small subunit ribosomal RNA
Source: RNAcentral
GUCCACGCCGUAAACGGUGGGCGCUAGAUGUGGGACCAUUCCAUGGUUUCUGCGUCGCAGCUAACGCAUUAAGUUGACCGCCUGGGAGUACGGCCGCAAGGUUAAACUCAAAUGAAUUGACGGGGCCCGCACAAGCGGUGGAGCAUGUGGUUUAAUUCGAAGCAACGCGAAGAACCUUACCAGGCCUUGACAUCCAAUGAACUUUCUAGAGAUAGAUUGGUGCCUUCGGGAACAUUGAGACAGGUGCUGCAUGGCUGUCGU